RNAcentral lists this unclassified non-coding RNA (145 nucleotides) under uncultured Dothideomycetes. RNAcentral's name for it is "sequence contains ITS1". The record is from RNAcentral. Lineage: Eukaryota; Fungi; Ascomycota; Dothideomycetes.
CCGAGUGAGGGCUUCGGUCCGACCUCCAACCCUUUGUGAACCAAACUUGUUGCUUCGGGGGCGACCCUGCCGCCUCGGGCGGCGCGGCGCCCCCGAAGGCCAUCAAACACUGCAUCAUUGCGUCGGAGUCGAAGUAAAUCAAAUA